This 1341-nucleotide ribosomal RNA is filed under the name uncultured bacterium. RNAcentral describes it as "partial 16S ribosomal RNA". It matches the Rfam family "Bacterial small subunit ribosomal RNA", at positions 28 to 1381 of the family's 1533-position model. The record is from RNAcentral.
GACGAACGCUGGCGGCGUGCUUAACACAUGCAAGUCGAACGGUAAGGCUCCAGCUUGCUGGGGUACACGAGUGGCGAACGGGUGAGUAACACGUGGGUGACCUGCCCUGCACUUCGGGAUAAGCCUGGGAAACUGGGUCUAAUACCGGAUAGGACCGCACCGUGAGGGUGUGGUGGAAAGUUUUUUCGGUGUGGGAUGGGCCCGCGGCCUAUCAGCUUGUUGGUGGGGUAAUGGCCUACCAAGGCGGCGACGGGUAGCCGGCCUGAGAGGGUGGACGGCCACAUUGGGACUGAGACACGGCCCAGACUCCUACGGGAGGCAGCAGUGGGGAAUAUUGCACAAUGGGCGGAAGCCUGAUGCAGCGACGCCGCGUGGGGGAUGACGGCCUUCGGGGUGUAAACUCCUUUCACCAUCGACGAAGGGUUUCUGACGGUAGAUGGAGAAGAAGCACCGGCUAACUACGUGCCAGCAGCCGCGGUAAUACGUAGGGUGCGAGCGUUGUCCGGAAUUACUGGGCGUAAAGAGCUCGUAGGUGGUUUGUCGCGUCGUCUGUGAAAUUCCGGGGCUUAACUCCGGGCGUGCAGGCGAUACGGGCAUAACUUGAGUACUGUAGGGGAGACUGGAAUUCCUGGUGUAGCGGUGAAAUGCGCAGAUAUCAGGAGGAACACCGGUGGCGAAGGCGGGUCUCUGGGCAGUAACUGACGCUGAGGAGCGAAAGCAUGGGGAGCGAACAGGAUUAGAUACCCUGGUAGUCCAUGCCGUAAACGGUGGGCGCUAGGUGUGGGUUUCCUUCCACGGGAUCCGUGCCGUAGCUAACGCAUUAAGCGCCCCGCCUGGGGAGUACGGCCGCAAGGCUAAAACUCAAAGGAAUUGACGGGGGCCCGCACAAGCGGCGGAGCAUGUGGAUUAAUUCGAUGCAACGCGAAGAACCUUACCUGGGCUUGACAUAUACAGGAUCGCGCCAGAGAUGGUGUUUCCCUUGUGGCUUGUAUACAGGUGGUGCAUGGUUGUCGUCAGCUCGUGUCGUGAGAUGUUGGGUUAAGUCCCGUAACGAGCGCAACCCUUGUCUUAUGUUGCCAGCACGUUGUGGUGGGGACUCGUAAGAAACUGCCGGGGUUAACUCGGAGGAAGGUGGGGAUGACGUCAAAUCAUCAUGCCCCUUAUGCCCAGGGCUUCACACAUGCUACAAUGGUCGGUACAGUGGGUUGCCAGUCCGUGAGGGCGAGCUAAUCCCGCAAAGCCGGUCUCAGUUCGGAUCGGGGUCUGCAACUCGACCCCGUGAAGUCGGAGUCGCUAGUAAUCGCAGAUCAGCAACGCUGCGGUGAAUACGUUCCCGGGCCU